UAUUGGUCAAUGGGCGCAGGCCUGAACCAGCCAAGUCGCGUGAGGGAAGACUGCCCUAUGGGUUGUAAACCUCUUUUAUAAGGGAAGAAUAAUGACUACGUGUAGUCAGAUGCCCGUACCUUAUGAAUAAGCAUCGGAUAACUCCGUGCCAGCAGCCGCGGUAAUACGGAGGAUGCGCGCGUUAUCCGGAUUUAUUGGGUUUAAAGGGUGAGUAGGCGGUAUUUUAAGUUAGUGGUAAAACGUCGGGGCUUCACCUUGAUUGGCCAUUAAAACUGGAGUACUAGAGUACAGACGAGGUAGGCGGAAUAAGUUAAGUAGCGGUGAAAUGCUUAGAUAUAACUUAGAACCCCGAUAGCGAAGGCAGCUUACCAGACUGUUACUGACGCUGAAGCACGAGAGCGUGGGUAGCGAACAGGA
RNAcentral lists this ribosomal RNA (417 nucleotides) under uncultured bacterium. Its description in RNAcentral is "bacterial SSU rRNA". It matches the Rfam family "Bacterial small subunit ribosomal RNA", at positions 362 to 777 of the family's 1533-position model. The record is from RNAcentral.